This 197-nucleotide ribosomal RNA is filed under the name uncultured bacterium. Its description in RNAcentral is "partial 16S ribosomal RNA". It matches the Rfam family "Bacterial small subunit ribosomal RNA", at positions 1303 to 1500 of the family's 1533-position model. The record is from RNAcentral.
GGCUGAAAUUCGCCUUCAUGAAGCUGGAAUUGCUGUAAUGGCAGGUCAGCAUACUGCCGUGAAUACGUUCCCGGGCCUUGUACACACCGCCCGUCACACCAUGAGAGUUGGAAAUACCCGAAGCCUGUGAGCUAACAGUAAUGAGGCAGCAGUCGAAGGUAGAGCCAAUGAUUGGGGUGAAGUCGUAACAAGGUAGC